GACGAACGCUGGCGGCGUGCUUAACACAUGCAAGUCGAACGAAAAGAGGGAAAGAGCUUGCUCUUUCCGGAAUUGAGUGGCAAACGGGUGAGUAACACGUAAACAACCUGCCUUCAGGAUGGGGACAACAGACGGAAACGACUGCUAAUACCGAAUAAGUUCCAAGGGCCGCAUGGCCCAUGGAAGAAAAGGUGGCCUCUACCUGUAAGCUAUCGCCUGAAGAGGGGUUUGCGUCUGAUUAGCUGGUUGGAGGGGUAACGGCCCACCAAGGCGACGAUCAGUAGCCGGUCUGAGAGGAUGAACGGCCACACUGGAACUGAGACACGGUCCAGACUCCUACGGGAGGCGGCAGUGGGGAAUCUUCCGCAAUGGGCGAAAGCCUGACGGAGCAACGCCGCGUGAGUGAUGACGGCCUUCGGGUUGUAAAACUCUGUGAUCCGGGACGAAAAGGCAGAGUGCGAAGAACAAACUGCAUUGACGGUACCGGAAAAGCAAGCCACGGCUAACUACGUG
This 513-nucleotide ribosomal RNA is filed under the name uncultured bacterium. Its description in RNAcentral is "partial 16S ribosomal RNA". It matches the Rfam family "Bacterial small subunit ribosomal RNA", at positions 28 to 507 of the family's 1533-position model. The record is from RNAcentral.